UGAACUGNCAAGCUAGAGUGUGUCAGAGGGGGGUAGAAUUCCACGUGUAGCAGUGAAAUGCGUAGAGAUGNGGAGGAAUACCGAUGGCGAAGGCAGCCCCCUGGGAUAACACUGACGUUCAUGCUCGAAAGCGUGGGUAGCAAACAGGAUUAGAUACCCUGGUAGUCCACGCCCUAAACGAUGUCAAUUAGCUGUUGGGCAACUUGAUUGCUUAGUAGCGUAGCUAACGCGUGAAAUUGACCGCCUGGGGAGUACGGUCGCAAGAUUAAAACUCAAAGGAAUUGACGGGGACCCGCACAAGCGGUGGAUGAUGUGGAUUAAUUCGAUGCAACGCGAAGAACCUUACCUGGUCUUGACAUGUACGGAAUCUCUCAGAGACGGGAGAGUGCCUUCGGGAACCGUAACACAGGUGCUGCAUGGCUGUCGUCAGCUCGUGUCGUGAGAUGUUGGGNNAANNNNNNNNAACGAGCGCAACCCUUGUCAUUAGUUGCCAUCAUUUAGUUGGGCACUCUAAUGAGACUGCCGGUGACAAACCGGAGGAAGGUGGGGAUGACGUCAAGUCCUCAUGGCCCUUAUGACCAGGGCUUCACACGUCAUACAAUGGUCGGUACAGAGGGUCGCCAAGCCGCGAGGUGGAGCCAAUCUCACAAAACCGAUCGUAGUCCGGAUUGCACUCUGCAACUCGAGUGCAUGAAGUCGGAAUCGCUAGUAAUCGCAGGUCAGCAUACUGCGGUGAAUACGUUCCCGGGUCU
Molecule: ribosomal RNA, 752 nt
Filed under: uncultured bacterium
Lineage: Bacteria
Description: bacterial SSU rRNA
Rfam family: Bacterial small subunit ribosomal RNA
Source: RNAcentral